Molecule: ribosomal RNA, 446 nt
Filed under: Escherichia albertii
Lineage: Bacteria; Pseudomonadati; Pseudomonadota; Gammaproteobacteria; Enterobacterales; Enterobacteriaceae
Description: partial 23S ribosomal RNA
Rfam family: Bacterial large subunit ribosomal RNA
Source: RNAcentral
AUCCAUAGGUUAAUGAGGCGAACCGGGGGAACUGAAACAUCUAAGUACCCCGAGGAAAAGAAAUCAACCGAGAUUCCCCCAGUAGCGGCGAGCGAACGGGGAGGAGCCCAGAGCCUGAAUCAGUGUGUGUGUUAGUGGAAGCGUCUGGAAAGGCGCGCGAUACAGGGUGACAGCCCCGUACACAAAAAUGCACAUGCUGUGAGCUCGAUGAGUAGGGCGGGACACGUGGUAUCCUGUCUGAAUAUGGGGGGACCAUCCUCCAAGGCUAAAUACUCCUGACUGACCGAUAGUGAACCAGUACCGUGAGGGAAAGGCGAAAAGAACCCCGGCGAGGGGAGUGAAAAAGAACCUGAAACCGUGUACGUACAAGCAGUGGGAGCCCUGAUUUAUCAGGGUGACUGCGUACCUUUUGUAUAAUGGGUCAGCGACUUAUAUUCUGUAGCAAG